Long non-coding RNA from Heterocephalus glaber (naked mole-rat), 1971 nucleotides. NCBI's taxonomy places the organism in Eukaryota, Metazoa, Chordata, Mammalia, Rodentia, Bathyergidae. The record is from Ensembl.
AACUCAGAGAGAUGGGCAGAUGUUUGUCUGGAUGGAUGAUAACCCUCCGGCUGCGCACACACACAGACUCUUAUGUUUUGCUCCGAGGCAACUGAUGUACUCAAUGGCAGUUAAUUCUUCCUAGAGCAACAUGAAAAAGAAAACACCUUGAGAUGGAGAUUUACAUGCAGAGUUUAGAGUGGAAUGCUCUAAACAGGUCUUGUAAGAUAACGAAGAGACCAGGAUUGAACAGAGGAGGAAACUGAUCAGUGAAGCAGUUUCAACAAAGACUCCAGCCAAUCACAGGGGACACUCAAUGGCACCAUAGAGCUGUCUUGAAAUGAGGAUGGAAGAGGAGACUGAUCACCUCCUGGAGUUUACUGAGUAAUCUGACAUAGAUUGAGUCAGAGAAACCCUACAACCUCAAGCGGAAUGUGGGAGUGGCUUGCAGUGAGAAUGGCUCACAAGAGGUGUACUGAAUAAUUGAAACUCAGACAAGGUUGGCUGACACCUACACCCAGGUUGAAAAAAACUGGAAUGGGGAAGUGCAUGUGUCCAUGUGGAUAAAUGAAGUGAAGAAAAACAGGGGAAGUGCCAGAGAGUACCAGAGGAACACUGAUUCAAGGUUACUUGGAGGUACAUUGGCAGCCAGCCAAACUUAAAGUGUAACAAUCUGAGAACAAAAAAAAAAGAGGGAGAGAGAGAAAAGAAAAGAAAACAGGACACUUUAAAAUCCAAAGAACUGCUGCCAAGUUUGUUAUAGAAGCUUUAUAGUAAGUGAGAUGGAGAAAAAAUAUGAAAAGGCUAUGAGAUAUACUUUUGAUAUGGGAGGAUUUUGUAUGAUAAAAGUUUUGUCUUGCUAGAAAGAUAAAAAGAGGGAUAAUGACAAAAUGGGAAAGCUCACAUAUAUCAAGGGAAAGUUUGUGGAAGUAGUUUAUCAAAAGAAAUAUGUGUGGUUGCUUGUUAGUUUGGUGGAACUCAGUUUCUGAAGUGAAAGUGCUUGAAAGAGUGAUUUGUAUUUCAAUACAGUAGAUAUGGGAGGACAAGGCUUGAAAACCAAACCAUUAGAAUGUAUGUUAAAGAAACUUUAAAAGAGGCUAUACAGGGUACUAUGGAGUAAAGUUUACCCUCCAGAGGUUGAAAACUCUUUGUGAAAAAGAUUGGCCCUCUUUUGAUGUAGGGUGGUUGGCCAAGGGGACAACUGACAGGGGGACAAUUGGGCAUGUACAUAGAGUGAUAACUGAGGAUGGAGAAUGGCCAGAGCACCCAGAUCAGUUUCCCUGCAUCAAGUGAUGGUUAAAUAUAGUCCCGGCAUGGCCCAUCGGGUUACAGCCCUACCUGGAGACAUAUUGUAAAAUGUUUCUAGCCUGAGCCAUGCCUCAGACAAAAGGAAAAGAGGAAUCAGCCUUACUGGGAAGCUCAGCAACAAAAGAAAGACAGCAAAAGGGGCAAGAGAAACAGGUUUUGCAAGAGCUGCCAAAUGAGUCAGAGACUGCAGGAGACCAGCUUGAAACUGUGCUGGGGAGGCUAUAAAAUAUUAUUGAAUUGGCUUAUGAAUUAGCUAUUAAUUAAAUUGUGUCUGUCCUAGGCCUACAUGACUUGCAAAUGAGCCUUUGGCUGGCCUACAGAAACAGAACUCCUGAUGCCAGUGGUCACAAUUGAGAUCUCAGUGGUCAGUGAUAUUGUGGCACCUCUGAUAGCAACAUGACACUGCAGCUGGAGACUUUUUGACUCUUUGCAGCCAUUUUCCUCAAACAAAUGUUAGCUAUAAAAACUCAGGUUACUCAUUAAUAAUGACCUGUCUUUCACACGAACACAUUGUUCCUCCCUUUUACAUACCUGGCUUGCAUCAGUGCCUUACCCUCUACUGUUCCCUGCAUUUGCCUUUAUACUCUGUGCAGUGUUGUGUGAUCAAUAAAUACUGGCAAGUCUGGAGCCUUGUGAUUUUAGCUUUGCAGAGCUCUGAUGGUCCCAGACCCCUGUUUAUACAAA